RNAcentral lists this ribosomal RNA (687 nucleotides) under uncultured Lachnospiraceae bacterium. RNAcentral's name for it is "bacterial SSU rRNA". It matches the Rfam family "Bacterial small subunit ribosomal RNA", at positions 63 to 751 of the family's 1533-position model. The record is from RNAcentral. Lineage: Bacteria; Bacillati; Bacillota; Clostridia; Lachnospirales; Lachnospiraceae.
CGAACGGGAAAUAUUUUAUUGAAGCUUCGGUGGAUUUAAUUUAUUUCUAGUGGCGGACGGGUGAGUAACGCGUGGGUAACCUGCCUUAUACCGGGGGAUAACAGCCAGAAAUGACUGCUAAUACCGCAUAAGCGCACAGAACCGCAUGGUUCGGUGUGAAAAACUCCGGUGGUAUAAGAUGGACCCGCGUUGGAUUAGCUAGUUGGCAGGGCAGCGGCCUACCAAGGCGACGAUCCAUAGCCGGCCUGAGAGGGUGAACGGCCACAUUGGGACUGAGACACGGCCCAGACUCCUACGGGAGGCAGCAGUGGGGAAUAUUGCACAAUGGGGGAAACCCUGAUGCAGCGACGCCGCGUGAAGGAAGAAGUAUCUCGGUAUGUAAACUUCUAUCAGCAGGGAAGAUAAUGACGGUACCUGACUAAGAAGCCCCGGCUAACUACGUGCCAGCAGCCGCGGUAAUACGUAGGGGGCAAGCGUUAUCCGGAUUUACUGGGUGUAAAGGGAGCGUAGACGGCGCAGCAAGUCUGAUGUGAAAGGCAGGGGCUUAACCCCUGGACUGCAUUGGAAACUGCUGUGCUUGAGUGCCGGAGGGGUAAGCGGAAUUCCUAGUGUAGCGGUGAAAUGCGUAGAUAUUAGGAGGAACACCAGUGGCGAGGGCGGCUUACUGGACGGUAACUGACGUUGAGG